GACCCCUCCCGGGUGGUGAUGUGGGUGAGGAGCCACAACAAGGGGGUUAGGGAAGAGGGGGCGUGUAGAGCGAGCCGGCAGCACCCAACGUAGCGGCGGCGUCUUUAACCUCGCGGGCGGCCGACGGCGUGUCCAGCGCCCACCACCAACUCGCGCGCGCGCCCCGCCUCCGCGCUCUCCGACACCACCACGCGCGCCCCCGACGUCUUCUCUCCGCCUCGCCCACUUCCAGCGUCGCCACGAGACAGAGGUCAGGCGGUUCCCCACGCCCCACUUCCAGCAGCCGCUGCGACGCAAAGGCCGCUCCCCUGAACGGUGCCUCAAAGACUCGUAGUUGUUACAGACUCUGUUCGUUUUUUUCACUGCUAGUCCAGCGUGUUCGUUGGGUUGUCCCACAUCUACUUUAUCUCGCGUCCAUGCGGGUGGUGUCGUUGUUUUGUGCGGCCAUUAACAGAUGUUCACAUACGCGUGAUUUCUCUAGUAGAUUGCACCCUUCGUGGGUAGUCUGUAUCUAUCAUUAUGGUCACGUGGUCUACGACUAAAUCUUCCGUUCCUAUAGUACGUUCUCCUCCUUAGCUUCAGUUUUGCCGCCUCCUGUCCGCUUUUGCUCAUCCUUGAUUACCUACCUAGUUCGUUUUUCCUGUAAGUUCUUCUAGUAGUACGUCAAUUAGCACUACGACUAGGGAGCGUACGAUAACUUAUAGUAGUUCUCCCGAUCUCUUCGUGUGGGAAAUAACCCAUGGUCGUAGCCCCUUCUUUCCUCUAACGACGGGCACCGUUUGCAGGCGAUCUGUAGUUGUUGUUAGACUCACAAAAGUGUCUACCACUACUUUUACAACUCUUUCUGUGACGACACCUUGUUGGUGGUUUUAAUUUUGCAGUUUUCUGGCCUAGAUUGCUCCUAUUCUCUUUGUCCCGUAGCGGACGUUCCGAAAAGUUCGACUUAUUUGAAGAACAUGGACAAGUUGUUCCGGUUCGAGUUCAGUGAAAGUCAGUUAAAGACUGUGGUCGGAAUAUGUCUAGUACCCCUUUCUCUUUCCCUCCGCACACAAGAAGCCAUUGAGUCCCCUAUCCCUACUUUCUUCGUGUGUUGGUACCCCUUUUCACUUUCGAUUUAGACUGGAAAAAGACACGAAGAAGAUGGGAAUCAGUUAUACUUAACGGACCUCUUGUUUAGGAUUUGGUUGGUGGUAACCUCCUAACACCUCUCAAAAGACCUAGACCCUCAACAGGGAAACACCGAACCCUCUCUCUUCUUCUACCCCGACCCGCUAAACCACCCCUCUUUUCCUCUGCGGGUCCCCCCACCUCCUCCCUUUGUGCACCCCCUCCCUCCUAGUCCACUCAAGGCGCCGAGCUACCAACCCACGUUCCUUAGCCCUCGCCCCGGUCCAUGAAAGGAUAAGACCUAUCCUCCCUGUCUUUUAAUGAUAAAACCCUCCCGACGGUCCCUUGCGAUCCCUCGUCGGCCGACGAGGGAUCUGUGCAGGUAUGAAUUUUGGGUAUAGAUACUUAAACCUAAGUGUGACGUCAAGGUAAUUGUAGUUUACGUGAGGGGGCGUUUUUUUUUUUGUAGUUUACGUGACUUUUUAUAAAGUCUGGACCGCAUACACCUUCCUGUCUUCCGACGUGCUCAAGUCGAGGUUACAGCUGAUCUCAAGCUUAGUAAGAUCUGGGCCUCCAAACUAUAUUACCUCUUAUAAGUCAUCACCGUAUAUAUGUUAUUUUUACAUUCGUUCCUAAUACCCGAAAAAUGCCGAGUCCACCACAUAUAUAAGCUCUAUAAUUCUCGUCAAAACAUAUCACUUUUAUUUGUACAAAGACAUCAUGGUUGAUGGUCUAACUAAAAGGUAGUCAAUGUAACAUUAAGUUUGUACGUUACAAAGUACAAAACGACAAGGACAAAAGAUGCCGUAGGUCCCUAUCCCCGGAACCUUAGAAACGUUCGAACUAGAAGUCCAAAGACUCUAGUAUGUACCGUUUAGCUUUGACUGUGAAUCAACGGUACAAGUUAAAAGUCUUAUUUGUCUGUAGGAGUUGAACUGUUCGUCGUUGAUGUCUCGAGUCUCAAUUCUAGACAUCGACGUGUGUGAUGUUUGUGUAGUCCUAGAGGUUUAUUUGCGACAAGACCUAACUUUUUUCUGGAACUACUUGGACUUCUAGGUACGAGUCGAACGAUCCGAAGGCGUAUGGUUACAUUAUUCCAAUGACCCCACCACGUAUGUACCUCUUCUUUCCUAAGAUUAGAUGUUCAAGUACGUGUUACCACGGAACCUGGUAGUGUAUAAACUACACACCAACCGUCGUCCUCUGCUUCGUCACCCUCGUACCUCUGCGGACACCCUCGUGACCCGAAAUAGAAAAGUUGACGUCUACGGUGUUGUACCCCUCCACCCUACGACAUGGUGACCUCUAUGGUUCUCUCCUCGUGUCGCAGGGAGACUCGUAGGCCGGUAAACGGACACGGGUUCAUUGCCUGUUUCAACCGGAACU
This 2493-nucleotide ribosomal RNA is filed under the name Triticum aestivum (bread wheat). RNAcentral's name for it is "partial small subunit ribosomal RNA". The record is from RNAcentral. Lineage: Eukaryota; Viridiplantae; Streptophyta; Magnoliopsida; Poales; Poaceae.